UAUGCAUUAUAAAUUUCCAACAAGAAAAAAUUACCUGCCUUUCAGCACAUAUAGAUUUCACAUUCGUUUACAUCUGUUACAAACACUGAUUUACACAUAAUGACAUAAUUGAAUUUGUUUUAACUUGCAGAUUCAGCAAUGCAGUUGCAAAAUGGCCAGGCUCAAGCCAUGACUCCUCUAUAUUGAACAACAGUCAAGUUGCAGAGCUCCUUGACACUGGGAACUUGCCAGGGGUAUUGCUCGGAGACUCGGGUUACGGAUGUAAGCAAUGGCUCUUGACCCCAGUACUGGAGCCAAGAAGCAAAGCAGAACAAAAGUAUAACACCGCCCACAUGAAAACUCGCAACACCAUUGAGAGAGCUUUUGGAGUAUUAAAAUCCCGGUUCCGAUGUUUACACAAAACGACUGGUUGCCUGCCAUUCAGCACUGACAAGUGUUGUAAAGUAAUUAUCGCGUGCAUGAAGCUUCAUAAUUACUGCAUGG
Long non-coding RNA from Haliotis rubra (blacklip abalone), 483 nucleotides. RefSeq lists it as uncharacterized. The record is from RefSeq and is a predicted model, not a curated record. Lineage: Eukaryota; Metazoa; Mollusca; Gastropoda; Lepetellida; Haliotidae. The transcript is spliced from 3 exons.